CCUUUGGAGUGCGAUAUCAAACAUUAGUAGCUCGAACGAAAGUAAGGGCGAGGACGCGCACGUUGAAAAAGGAA
RNAcentral lists this non-coding RNA (74 nucleotides) under unclassified sequences. Its description in RNAcentral is "RAGATH-18 RNA". It matches the Rfam family "RAGATH-18 RNA". Rfam says of the family: Actinobacteria, Firmicutes, Fusobacteria, Thermotogae (1 example). Nearby to self-cleaving ribozyme genes The record is from Rfam by way of RNAcentral.